RNAcentral lists this long non-coding RNA (800 nucleotides) under Equus caballus (horse). RNAcentral's name for it is "lncRNA (ENSECAG00000056245.1)". The record is from RNAcentral. Lineage: Eukaryota; Metazoa; Chordata; Mammalia; Perissodactyla; Equidae.
CAAGGACCUCACAGUCCAGCAGGAAAGACAGACAAAUAAAUCCAUAACCAAGUGACCGUGGGAUAAGGGCAGUGGCCUGCAGUGGUAUUCCAAGAGCACUGUAGAAUGCUGAGGAGGGGCUUCUCCUUCUGACUGAGGGGCGGGCAAGCUGGGAGAGGAAGGAGCUCAGGGGCUGCUUCCUCCCCUGAUGUUGACUUGACUGUUGACUUGAGUGAGUUGAAACCUCCUCUGAGCAAUCUCCAUGUUGUAUGUCCUGUUUGUCCCCACUACUGCUGUCCCUCUUCAGAAACUCAUCACUUCUUAUCAGGAAAUGUGUAAAAUGAGAAAAAGAAAGAGAGGAUGGAGGCCAGAGCAGAAGCCAGUGGAGCCUGAGAAGGAGCUGCAGUGGAGCAGAAGCCUCAGGUUGAGAUGAUGACAUUACAAGAUGAAAAUAGCAUGGAUCACUGGAAGCAAGCUGCCUGGGGGAGCCACUUGACCUGCAGUGGACGUUGCAUGAGAAAGAAAUGUACUUUUAAGUGAUCGGCCACUGACGUUCAGUGUCAAUAAAUAGAUAGUAGAAACAUUUCAAGGAGAUCAUAAAAGGAAGAGGAAGAUAUGGGGCAGAGUGAUUGGCCAGGCCUCAUGAUGAAGAGGAUAAAUGGGUCCAGAAAUAGGAAUUGUAUGAUGCUGGUGUACGAUCUAUUGAUGCUGGACGUGGAGGAGAACCAAGAGUCAAGACAUGGAUUGAAAACGAAAAGCUGAAAAAGCUCACAAGAAGACAACAGGGGCCAGCUCCAAGGCUCAGUGUGUCUAGAGAAGAG